CGGGUGCACUGAUCCGGCCGGGCCUUUCCCUCUGUGGAACCCCAUGGCCUUCACUGGCUGUGCGGGGGAAACAGGACUUUUACUGUGAAAAAAUUAGAGUGCUCCAGGCAGGCCUAUGCUCGAAUACAUUAGCAUGGAAUAAUAGAAUAGGACGCGUGGUUCUAUUUUGUUGGUUUCUAGGACCGCCGUAAUGAUUAAUAGGGACAGUCGGGGGCAUCAGUAUUCAAUUGUCAGAGGUGAAAUUCUUGGAUCUAUUGAAGACUAACUACUGCGAAAGCAUUUGCCAAGGAUGUUUUCAUUGAUAAGGAACGAAAGUUAGGGGAUCGAAGACGAUCAGAUACCGUCGUAGUCUUAACUAUAAACUAUGCCGACUAGGGAUCGGACGAUGUUAUUUCUUGACGCGUUCGGCACCUUUCGAGAAAUCAAAGUGCUUGGGCUCCAGGGGGAGUAUGGUCGCAAGGCUGAAACUUAAAGAAAUUGACGGAAGGGCACCACCAGGGGUGGAACCUGCGGCUUAAUUUGACUCAACACGGGGAAACUCACCAGGUCCAGACACAGUGAGGAUUGACAGAUUGAGAGCUCUUUCUUGAUUCUGUGGGUGGUGGUGCAUGGCCGUUCUUAGUUGGUGGAGUGAUUUGUCUGCUUAAUUGCGAUAACGAACGAGACCUUAACCUGCUAAAUAGCCCGUAUUGCUUUGGCAGUACGCCGGCUUCUUAGAGGGACUAUCGG
RNAcentral lists this ribosomal RNA (729 nucleotides) under uncultured eukaryote. Its description in RNAcentral is "SSU rRNA". It matches the Rfam family "Eukaryotic small subunit ribosomal RNA", at positions 670 to 1426 of the family's 1831-position model. The record is from RNAcentral.